RNAcentral lists this ribosomal RNA (492 nucleotides) under uncultured bacterium. RNAcentral describes it as "partial 16S ribosomal RNA". It matches the Rfam family "Bacterial small subunit ribosomal RNA", at positions 29 to 507 of the family's 1533-position model. The record is from RNAcentral.
AGUGAACGCUGGCGGUAGGCCUAACACAUGCAAGUCGAACGGCAGCACAGUAAGAGCUUGCUCUUACGGGUGGCGAGUGGCGGACGGGUGAGGAAUACAUCGGAAUCUACUUUUUCGUGGGGGAUAACGUAGGGAAACUUACGCUAAUACCGCAUACGACCUACGGGUGAAAGCAGGGGAUCUUCGGACCUUGCGCGAUUGAAUGAGCCGAUGUCGGAUUAACUAGUUGGCGGGGUAAAGGCCCACCAAGGCGACGAUCCGUAGCUGGUCUGAGAGGAUGAUCAGCCACACUGGAACUGAGACACGGUCCAGACUCCUACGGGAGGCAGUAGUGGGGAAUAUUGGACAAUGGGCGCAAGCCUGAUCCAGCCAUACUGCGUGGGUGAAGAAGGCCUUCGGGUUGUAAAGCCCUUUUGUUGGGAAAGAAAAGCAGCAGGUUAAUACCCCGCUGUUCUGACGGUACCCAAAGAAUAAGCACCGGCUAACUUCGUG